Molecule: ribosomal RNA, 1940 nt
Filed under: human gut metagenome
Description: bacterial LSU rRNA
Rfam family: Bacterial large subunit ribosomal RNA
Source: RNAcentral
AACCCCGGGAGGGGAGUGAAAGAGAACCUGAAACCUUAUGUUUACAAACAGUCGAAGUUUUUCGGAACGACGGCGUACUUUUUGUAGAACGGUCCGGCGAGUUGCAGUGACAUGCGAGGUUAAGGAGUACAGCUCCGGAGCCGAAGGGAAACCAAGUCUUAACUGGGCGUCUAGUAUGUUAAUGCAGACCCGAAACCGGGUGACCUAUCCAUGGGCAGGUUGAAGUUACCGUAAAAGGUAAUGGAGGACCGAACUCACAUCUGUUGAAAAAGGUGGAGAUGACCUGUGGAUAGCGGAGAAAUUCCAAUCGAACUCGGAGAUAGCUGGUUCUCCUCGAAAUAGCUUUAGGGCUAGCCUUGAGGUAAAGUCUAAUGGAGGUAAAGCACUGAUUGGACGCGGGUCCCCAAAAGGAUACCAACUUCUAUCAAACUCAGAAUGCCAUAUAGAUAUACUCAGGAGUCAGACUAUGUGAGAUAAGUUUCAUAGUCAAAAGGGAAAGAGCCCAGACCGACAGCUAAGGUCCCAAAGUGUGUGUUAAGUGGAAAAGGAUGUUAGGUUUCUAAGACAACUAGGAUGUUGGCUCAGAAGCAGCCACUCAUUUAAAGAGUGCGUAACAGCUCACUAGUCGAGAGGUCUAGCGCCGAAAAUGUCCGGGGCUAAAACACACCACCGAAGCUACGGAAUUACCUAUGGUAAUUGGUAGAGGAGCAUUCUGUAAGGACGAAGCACAAUUGAAAGAGAGUGUGGACGAAACAGAAGAGAGAAUGCCGGAAUGAGUAGCGAGAUAUAUGUGAGAAUCAUAUAGGUCGAAUGUCUAAGGUUUCCUGGGUAAAGCUGAUCUGCUCAGGGUAAGUCGGGACCUAAGGUGAGGGCGAGAGCCGUAAUCGAUGGACAACAGGUAGAAAUUCCUGUACUACGUAUAAUCAGAACUGUGGGGACGCAGGAGGAUAGGAAAACCGGAGAAUGGAAAAAUCCGGCUAAGUACAAAGGUGUGAGUGAUAGGCAAAUCCGUCACUAUAAGCUGAAGUACGAAUGGGAGCGAAGAAAAGUAGCGAAGUUUCUGAAUCCACACUGUCAAGAAAAGCCGCUAUUGCGUUAUACGUACCCGUACCGCAAACCGACACAGGUAGACGAGGAGAAAAUCCACAGACCGACGGGAGAAGUGUUGUUAAGGAACUCGGCAAAAUGACCCCGUAACUUAGGGAUAAGGGGAGCCAACGCAAGUUGGUCACAGAAAAGAGGCUCAAGCGACUGUUUAGCAAAAACAUAGGUCUAUGCGAAACCGUAAGGUGAUGUAUAUGGGCUGACACCUGCCCGGUGCUGGAAGGUCAAAAGGAGAGGUUAGCGUAAGCGAAGCUUUGAAUUCAAGCCCCAGUAAACGGCGGCCGUAACUAUAACGGUCCUAAGGUAGCGAAAUUCCUUGUCAGGUAAGUUCUGACCCGCACGAAAGGUGUAACGAUUUGAGCACUGUCUCGACAACACGCCCGGUGAAAUUGAAGAACCAGUGAAGAUACUGGUUACCCGCAACAGGACGGAAAGACCCCAUGGAGCUUUACUGCAGCUUAAUAUUGGGAUUCGGUAUUGUAUGUACAGGAUAGGAGGGAGACUAAGAAGCUAGCACGCCAGUGUUGGUGGAGUCGAUGGUGGGAUACCUCUCUUAUAAUACUGAAUUUCUAACCUACUUCCGUGAUCCGGAAGAGGGACAUUGUUAGGCGGGCAGUUUGACUGGGGCGGUCGCCUCCGAAAGAGUAACGGAGGCGCUCAAAGGUCUUCUCAGAAUGAUUGGAAACCAUUCAAAGAGUGUAAAGGCAAAAGAAGGCUUGACUGCGAGAGUGACAACUCGAGCAGGUACGAAAGUAGGACUUAGUGAUCCGGUGGUAACAAGUGGGAGUGCCAUCGCUUAACGGAUAAAAGCUACCCUGGGGAUAACAGGCUUAUCU